AAAUUGCAUCAAUUCAUGGAGACAAACCCUACAUAAAUAGCAAAACACACAAAUAGCAAAACACAGCGCAACUUUUAUCGUGAAAUCAAUUAUUGACAAAAGUAUAUCAAGCCCCACAUGGGUAAUGUCUUUCGCAUGAUGAUAACUGGCCUUCUCUCCGACAAACAACGGCAAGAACAUGCAAGACUGUUGUCUUUCUCGUUUGGCCUCCAUCAACAUUCAUAUACAACAACGAAAUGUCGCCAUGGUCUUCCACGAAGCACCCAUUAUCAUUCCUCCAAUUUGAUUGAUGUGCAUAUAUUGCACUCAAGUUUCAGCAAAUACUUGGGAGUUAUUUCAAGUUUGGCAUGCUAGAGUAAGCCCUAAGACAAAAACAAUCUACUCUGUUUUGGAAGCCCUGUUUCGAAGCAUGAAGCGCAAGGUAUGCACAGCCUUUCUCCCACAAUUAAGAAAUCAAUCAUCUAAUUUUUUGUAUAAUCCUUACUCAAUUAUGUUUCUUUGGCAUGGAAUAAGAAUUGGGCUAUGGGAAGGAAAUUUCGAAUACAUGAAGUUUCAAAUUCUUGAUGAGCAAGAUGCCGGUCCCCCCCUUGUUUGCCGCGUAUUGUAGGAAUUGCAAUUGAGGCAUUUGUGAGCAACGAUGUGGAAGUGGACCUCCGAGGUGACUCCACAGUCAUUACAAAGGAUCCACACCUGAUGGUUGAAUUCAACACAAUUAGCUCAUACUCCAAUACACGAAUCAGUCAAGGUUAGUUGAAGUAAAUACUUAGGGCGUAUAUUAUAGCUCAGUUAGACUCUUAUAUAAUCCAUAUGGUACUAAAAGCUGCAUCCACUGUCCAUCUUACUGAUAGAUGGUUGGAGAUUAACCAUAACUAGGUGAAUGUUCUUGUGGGCCGCAGCACGGUCAAUCUUCCAUCAUCCAAUAGUAAGAGAGAACAGUGUAGUGCCACCGAAAUAAUAUCAUAUACUAUGGACCAUUGGAGUAGAAAUCCUUCACAACUCUUACUUACCAUCUUGUUUUGGUAUAUCGUAGGCAUGGGUGUGGCUGCAACCUGAAAUACAAUUCCAUGGAAGGUCUUUAGCAUAUGAGAAUCUGGUCUUUAGAGAAUUCAAGAUACAAAGUUAAAUGGAUCAUAGGCAAAGCUCUUUAGCAUAUGAGAAUCUGGUCUUUAGAGAAUUCAAGAUACAAAGUUACAUGGACCAUAGGCAUACCUCC
This 1213-nucleotide long non-coding RNA is filed under the name Amborella trichopoda. Its description in RNAcentral is "long non-coding RNA (ATRI_LNC001720)". The record is from RNAcentral. Lineage: Eukaryota; Viridiplantae; Streptophyta; Magnoliopsida; Amborellales; Amborellaceae.